GGAACCUGAGGAAGAAGCACGUUCAGAGGUGAAUGAAACGUUCCACCUUCAGAAUUUCCCUCCUUUAAUCUGAGGUUCAGGAGCAACUUUGAGCUGUGGCACCAAAUUAACAAAUGACCUCUAAUACCUGAAAACACACGAAAGCUGCACUCCCACCGCAUCAGGGUUACCAAAGUGCUUGGGAAGGGACACCCACGGUGGCCACUUUGCCUCUUGUUUGGACACUUCCUCUCACUCUGUGCCAUCACCGCUAUGGGCAGAGGGAGCUUCCCUGGCUGCCUCUCCGUGGCACCUCCACACUAAUGUCACCACCCUUAACGUGUAUUUUUUUAAUAUUCAAGUAACGUCGAUCUGCUUGGUUUUACUGAAGGGAGAUUUUAGGUUUUAGGCAUGGUUCUAACACUAAAAGACAAACAAAUGAAGAAAAUCAGGCUUGAGGACUGGCAACACUGAAGAGCAGGACCGAGCCAGGUGCAUGCAUGGGGCCGUCACUGCCGCCACGACUGCUCCGAGCCUAGCGCUGUGCCCCCCUGACCUUGGAGAAUGUUUCCACUCGUGCUGGUUAAUGUCACCCUCAAGGUUUUAAGAAAUGCCUGUGGAAAUAAUCACAGCGACGCCAAUAAAAUGUGACUAUGGGAAGCGGUCCCCUGACCUGGCAGACGUGCGGUACCCUAAUAAACCCAUGAGUGUAAAUACUAGCAUUCAAUCCGAAAGUGGUUUUCUGUAUGUUUCCCACUGAAGGACGCCUGAUGCCUGAGAUUGGCCUCAAACCCUGUUGUCACCAGCAUCAUGUGACACUGCCUGUGAGGGUCACGCACCCAACAGCGACCGGGGGUGCCACAGGCAAGGACUCUGUACGCAAUACAUCACAAUUCUGCUUCCUUUACACCCUGAGUCUCCUCAGAAGCAUGAUUACACUAAGGCAUUAGAAGAUUUUAAAACAGAAUGUCUUCAAAAAAAAAGGAAGGAAGGAAGGAAGGAAGGAAGGAAGGAAGGAAGGAAGGAAGGAAGGAAGGAAGGAAGGAAGGAAGGAAGAAAAUUAAAAAAAAAAAAAAGUAUUUUUCUUCGUCCUGCUCAUAGGAAGGGUUAACAACCAAAAAUCACCUCUCCGAGAACAGGGUGUCUAUAAUGACCCAAAUAGGUAAGUGGUGAACAUUUACUUUCUCUUGACAGCUUCUACUGUCAGACAAGUGUGCCCCUGCUGCCGCUGAGCUCCAACAAGCGUCCUCAACAAGACUGGCUCUCAAGACGCACACCAGACCCAGAGGCUGGUGCAGGAGGCACGGGGUCCAGGUGGCCCUGGGCUCUGCUCCCUGCACACCUUCUAGAGCCACCCCGGCUCAGACCUUGGAGCAGAAGGCAGGCAUCUCCUGAAACCCCUGCAGCAGAGGACUAUCCUCGGUGCCUACAGUGUCUGGGACCCGGGGCUGGUGGUCCCUGGGCAGGUGGUGGCACGGGCACAGAUGUGGAGCCAGGUGUCUGGGCAGGACUGCCCGGCUCACCUUCAAGCGAGCAUUCUCCUCUUGCAGUUCUCUCAGGCUGACGGAGGCACGGCUGCUCUGUGUGUCCAGCUUCACGUUCAGGUGCAGCCCUUCAUCGCGCUUGCUGACUAAGUCAUCCUUAAUCUUUCCUAACUGUUCUUUCAAGUCUAAAACCUUUCAUUAAAAUAAGAGAGAAUAUUAAAAAGUA
Long non-coding RNA from Felis catus (domestic cat), 1689 nucleotides. RefSeq lists it as uncharacterized. The record is from RefSeq and is a predicted model, not a curated record. The transcript has 2 exons. Lineage: Eukaryota; Metazoa; Chordata; Mammalia; Carnivora; Felidae.